This 434-nucleotide ribosomal RNA is filed under the name uncultured bacterium. RNAcentral describes it as "partial 16S ribosomal RNA". It matches the Rfam family "Bacterial small subunit ribosomal RNA", at positions 29 to 508 of the family's 1533-position model. The record is from RNAcentral.
AACGAACGCUGGCGGCAUGCCUAACACAUGCAAGUCGAACGAGACCUUCGGGUCUUGUGGCGCCCGGGUGCGUAACGCGUGGGAAUCUGCCCUUGGGUUCGGCAUAACAGUUGGAAACGACUGCUAAUACCGGAUGAUGACUUAAGUCCCAAGAUUUAUCGCCCAGGGAUGAGCCCGCGUAGGAUUAGCUAGUUGGUGGGGUAAAGGCCUACCAAGGCGACGAUCCUUAGCUGGUCUGAGAGGAUGAUCAGCCACACUGGGACUGAGACACGGCACAGACUCCUACGGGAGGGAGCAGUGGGGAAUAUUGGACAAUGGGCGAAAGCCAGAUCCAGCAAUGCCGCGUGAGUGAUGAAGGCAGUAGGGUUGUAAAGCUCUUUUACCCGGGAUGAUAAUGACAGGACCGGGAGAAUAAGCCCCGGCUAACUCCGUGC